GAUGAAGAACGCAGUGAAAUGCGAUAAGUAAUGUGAAUUGCUGAAUUCAGUGAAUCAUCGAGUUUUUGAACGCAUAUUGCGCCCUCUGGUAUUCCGGGGGGCAUGCCUGUUCGAGCGUCAUUAAAUAACCCUCAAGCAUAGCUUGGUGUUGGGCUUUUUUACGUCCUUGACUGGGAUGGGCCUAAAAAUUAGUGGCGAUGGCUUUUUUACUUUCAAGCGUAGUAAAUCUCGUCUUGCUAAAGAGGAAAAAGAUUUUUUUUCUGCCAAAAAUUUUAACAUUUAAAGUUGACCUCGGAUCAGGUAGGAUUACCCGCUGAACUUAAGCAUAUCAAUAAGCGGAGGA
RNAcentral lists this unclassified non-coding RNA (343 nucleotides) under soil metagenome. RNAcentral's name for it is "partial contains 5.8S ribosomal RNA, internal transcribed spacer 2, and large subunit ribosomal RNA". The stretch from base 1 to 120 matches the Rfam family "5.8S ribosomal RNA", at positions 35 to 154 of the family's 154-position model. The record is from RNAcentral.